RNAcentral lists this long non-coding RNA (227 nucleotides) under Elaeis guineensis (African oil palm). RNAcentral describes it as "long non-coding RNA (EGUI_LNC014806)". The record is from RNAcentral. Lineage: Eukaryota; Viridiplantae; Streptophyta; Magnoliopsida; Arecales; Arecaceae.
UCUCCAUUUGCAAUGAUGUCCUUUACUUAAAAAUUCAAUAUUUUAAAAAUUUAAAAAAUAUUAUAUUACAUAUAACGAUAGAUCUCUCUUUUGAUUAAUAUAUAUAUUUUAUGAUAUCUAUAUAUUUAUAUAUUUUAGUAUGGAUCCAAAAAUUAUAUACAUUGAUUAAUUGACUGCCUAGUUUGAAUAGUUUAAAAAUUAUAAUUAAUUCUAUAGAUAAUUAUAGU